GUAUAACUUUUUAUAUAGGUACAAAAAAAGGACCUUUACUCGACAUUCUAGACAUGAAAGGUUGUGAAAACAUAGACCUGGAGGAUGAAAAGGGAAAGCCGACCUCUAUUUUUUUCAGAAGCACAGCAGUCCCCACUCGGAACGAAUCCAAAACCUCCAUCCAGGGUCUACAAUACGUGCACAGUUGGGAGAAAUGAGUAAAGAUGACAAGCGUGCACAUCGGUCCUGAGACCCAGCAACAGCCUGUACAAGUUUAUUCGAUAAUGAUCCUUCCGCAGGUUCACCUACGGAAA
Molecule: unclassified non-coding RNA, 293 nt
Filed under: uncultured fungus
Lineage: Eukaryota; Fungi
Description: sequence contains ITS1
Source: RNAcentral